UACGUAGGGGGCGAGCGUUGUCCGGAAUUACUGGGCGUAAAGAGCGCGUAGGCGGCGGCGUAAGUCGUUUGUGAAAGACCCGGGCCCAACCCGGGGGUUGCAGGCGAAACUAUGCCGCUUGAGUGCGGUAGAGGGAAGUGGAAUUCCUAGUGUAGCGGUGAAAUGCGCAGAUAUUAGGAGGAACACCAGUGGCGAAGGCGACUUUCUGGGCCGCAACUGACGCUGAGGCGCGAAAGCGUGGGGAGCAAACGGG
Molecule: ribosomal RNA, 253 nt
Filed under: uncultured prokaryote
Description: partial 16S ribosomal RNA
Rfam family: Bacterial small subunit ribosomal RNA
Source: RNAcentral